Molecule: long non-coding RNA, 620 nt
Filed under: Androctonus crassicauda
Lineage: Eukaryota; Metazoa; Arthropoda; Arachnida; Scorpiones; Buthidae
Source: RNAcentral
GGAUGAGGACCGUGGCGUGGUAUAAAAUAAUCGGCCGUGUACCCGGGAUAUUUUAUCGGACGAGGAAACCCAGAUUAAAAAUAGAAACGACUAUUUCGGCCGAGUGGAAGAGGGGCCGCUGCCGCUCUUGGGUCCAUCACACUUAUUCCCGGAAGAAAAACCAGUAGUCGACCAUCCUACGUGCCACAAGCCAGCCCACGCCUUCCACCCAGAAAUACCAGCGGAAGUAAAAUUAGUGCCGGCCGAAGAGAACUUAAACGGUGCCCAUAUCCUCCACCAACAGGAACUUCCGGCCAGUGGCUGGAGGGAAAGACAUCCGUUGGGCCCAGUGGCCAGUACGGUGGAGGGAGAAACCACCGCGGACUCUCCCACUGGAACAGAAAAAGAUAUGGGAGAGAUAGGACCGACGGAAGAAAUGGGGAAGAAGAAAGAGGAGGGGUCUUCCCGCCCCCGGCCCACCUUAUCCGACCAAAACCAGUCGACGAUUCGGCCAGCCGAGGAGUUACCAAAAGAAAAAAACGAUUUCCGACAAAAAACCGCCGAGGAGGCGGACGGACCGACGGAGCGAAUGCACCGCUCCCAAGACGGAGCGGUGGAUGAGACGCUGUCGGCACCCGCGA